Molecule: ribosomal RNA, 230 nt
Filed under: uncultured bacterium
Lineage: Bacteria
Description: partial 16S ribosomal RNA
Rfam family: Bacterial small subunit ribosomal RNA
Source: RNAcentral
GCAAGUCGAGCGGUAAGCUAACUUCGGUUAGCCUAGAGCGGCGGACGGGUGAGUAACACGUGGGAACAUACCCUUUUCUACGGAAUAGCCAUUGGAAACGAUGAGUAAUACCGUAUACGCCCUUCGGGGGAAAGAUUUAUCGGUGAAGGAUUGGCCCGCGUUAGAUUAGAUAGUUGGUGGGGUAAUGGCCUACCAAGUCUACGAUCUAUAGCUGGUUUUAGAGGAUGAUC